UCCGGUUUGACACCGGCAGUCUUCCAUGAGUCCCCAUCUUUACAUGCUGGUAACUAACCACAGGGGUUGCGCUCGUUAUAGGACUUAACCUGACACCUCACGGCACGAGCUGACGACAACCAUGCAGCACCUUGCAAUCAGUCCGAAGAAAUACUUGUUUCCAAAUACGUCCGAUUGCAUUUAAGCCUUGGUAAGGUUCCUCGCGUAUCAUCGAAUUAAACCACAUGCUCCACCGCUUGUGCGGGCCCCCGUCAAUUCCUUUGAGUUUCAUUCUUGCGAACGUACUCCCCAGGUGGGAUACUUAUCACUUUCGCUUAACCACUGAGACCGAAAUCCCAACAGCUAGUAUCCAUCGUUUACGGCGUGGACUAC
RNAcentral lists this unclassified non-coding RNA (372 nucleotides) under uncultured Flavobacteriaceae bacterium. RNAcentral's name for it is "contains 16S-23S intergenic spacer region". The record is from RNAcentral. Lineage: Bacteria; Pseudomonadati; Bacteroidota; Flavobacteriia; Flavobacteriales; Flavobacteriaceae.